CUUAAUUGGGCGUUAAGUUGCAGGGUAUAGACCCGAAACCCGGUGAUCUAGCCAUGGGCAGGUUGAAGGUUGGGUAACACUAACUGGAGGACCGAACCGACUAAUGUUGAAAAAUUAGCGGAUGACCUGUGGCUGGGGGUGAAAGGCCAAUCAAACCGGGAGAUAGCUGGUUCUCCCCGAAAGCUAUUUAGGUAGCGCCUCGUGAAUUCAUCUCCGGGGGUAGAGCACUGUUUCGGCUAGGGGGCCAUCCCGGCUUACCAACCCGAUGCAAACUGCGAAUACCGGAGAAUGUUAUCACGGGAGACACACGGCGGGUGCUAACGUCCGUCGUGAAGAGGGAAACAACCCAGACCGCCAGCUAAGGUCCCAAAGUCAUGGUUAAGUGGGAAACGAUGUGGGAAGGCCCAGACAGCCAGGAUGUUGGCUUAGAAGCAGCCAUCAUUUAAAGAAAGCGUAAUAGCUCACUGGUCGAGUCGGCCUGCGCGGAAGAUGUAACGGGGCUAAACCAUGCACCGAAGCUGCGGCAGCGAACGUAUCACUUAAAGCGAUUCAGCGGGUUACGAUUGACGGAGCGAAGCGACGUCAAAGCGUAUACAAAGUCGAGUCGGUUUAAGGAUACGUU
Molecule: ribosomal RNA, 622 nt
Filed under: Salmonella enterica subsp. enterica serovar Infantis
Lineage: Bacteria; Pseudomonadati; Pseudomonadota; Gammaproteobacteria; Enterobacterales; Enterobacteriaceae
Description: partial 23S ribosomal RNA
Rfam family: Bacterial large subunit ribosomal RNA
Source: RNAcentral